Molecule: ribosomal RNA, 440 nt
Filed under: uncultured bacterium
Lineage: Bacteria
Description: bacterial SSU rRNA
Rfam family: Bacterial small subunit ribosomal RNA
Source: RNAcentral
AACGCGAAGAACCUUACCUGGGCUUGACAUAUGGAGGACCGCGCCAGAGAUGGCGUUUCCCGCAAGGGCCUCUGAUACAGGUGCUGCAUGGCUGUCGUCAGCUCGUGCCGUGAGGUGUUGGGUUAAGUCCCGCAACGAGCGCAACCCUUGCCAUUAGUUGCCAUCAUUAAGUUGGGCACUCUACUGGGACUGCCCGGGUUAACCGGGAGGAAGGUGAGGAUGACGUCAAGUCCGCAUGGCCCUUAUGUCCAGGGCUACACACGUGCUACAAUGGCCAGUACAAUAGGAAGCAAUACCGAGAGGUUGAGCAAAUCCAUGAAAGCUGGCCCCAGUUCGGAUUGAGGUCUGCAACUCGACCUCAUGAAGUUGGAAUCGCUAGUAAUGGCAUGUCAGCUACAAUGCCGUGAAUACGUUCCCGAGCCUUGUACACACCGCUCGUC